RNAcentral lists this transfer RNA (72 nucleotides) under Ictidomys tridecemlineatus (thirteen-lined ground squirrel). RNAcentral describes it as "Spermophilus tridecemlineatus (thirteen-lined ground squirrel) tRNA". It matches the Rfam family "tRNA". From Rfam's summary of the family: Transfer RNA (tRNA) molecules are approximately 80 nucleotides in length. The record is from Rfam by way of RNAcentral. Lineage: Eukaryota; Metazoa; Chordata; Mammalia; Rodentia; Sciuridae.
GGGGAUGUGGCUCAGUGGUAGAGUGUCUGCCUGGCAUGGACAAGGCCCUGGGUUUGAUCCCCAGUACACACA